CAAGCAGCGGAGCGUGUGGUUAAUUCGAUGCUACACGAAGAACUUACCAGGUUUGACAUACAAGUAGUAGGGAAAGGAAACUGGACCGACCCUUCGGGGAGCCUAUACAGGUGUUGCAUGGCUGUCGUCAGCUCGUGUCGUGAGAUGUUCGGUUAAGUCCGCUAACGAGCGCAACCCUCGUCGUAUGUUAUAUGUGUCAUACGAGACUGCCGGUAAAAAGCCGGAGGAAGGUGAGGAUGAUGUCAAGUCAGCAUGACCUUUAUAUCCAGGGCUACACACACGCUACAAUGGUCUGUACAAUGGGUAGCCAAGCCGCGAGGCGGAGCCAAUCCUGAAAGCAGGCCUCAGUUCAGAUUGCAGUCUGCAACUCGACUGCAUGAAGCCGGAGUUGCUAGUAACCGCAGGUCAGCAAUACUGCGGUGAAUACGUUCCCGGGUCUU
This 440-nucleotide ribosomal RNA is filed under the name uncultured Anaerolineaceae bacterium. RNAcentral describes it as "bacterial SSU rRNA". It matches the Rfam family "Bacterial small subunit ribosomal RNA", at positions 926 to 1382 of the family's 1533-position model. Lineage: Bacteria; Bacillati; Chloroflexota; Anaerolineae; Anaerolineales; Anaerolineaceae. The record is from RNAcentral.